This 440-nucleotide ribosomal RNA is filed under the name uncultured bacterium. RNAcentral describes it as "partial 16S ribosomal RNA". It matches the Rfam family "Bacterial small subunit ribosomal RNA", at positions 338 to 795 of the family's 1533-position model. The record is from RNAcentral.
CCUACGGGAGGCAGCAGUGGGGAAUAUUGCACAAUGGGGGAAACCCUGAUGCAGCGACGCCGCGUGAGUGCAGAAGUAAUUCGUUAUGUAAAGCUCUAUCAGAAGGGAAGAAAAUGACGGUACCUGAGUCAGAAGCCCCGGCUAACUACGUGCCAGCAGCCGCGGUAAUACGUCGGGGGCAAGCGUUAUCCGGAUUUACUGGGUGUAAAGGGAGCGUAGACGGCAGUGCAAGUCUGGAGGGAAAGGCGGGGGCUCAACCCCCGGACUGCUCUGGAAAUUGGACGGCUGGAUUGCAGGAGAGGUAAGUGGAAUUCCGAGUGUAGCGGUGAAAUGCGUAGAUAUUAGGAGGAACACCAGUGGCGAAGGCGGCUUACGGGACUGUAACUGACGUUGAGGCUCGAAAGCGUGGGGAGCAAACAGGAUUAGAUACCCCUGUAGUC